GCUCAUCUCACUACCUUCACCCAGACCUCACUCUCCUGAGCUCAGAUAAUAAUCCAGUUACCAGCUGAACAUCUCUUUACUGUCCUCAAUGAGAAGGCCCAAGGAAUCACAGGGGAGGUCGCUACCUCCUUUUCAUCCUCCAGGACUCGGAUUAGAUGUCCCUCCCUCCGGAAGCCUUCCCGACUGGAUGACCUGAUGGGGUGCCCUUGUCCUGUGACCCACACAGCCCCGUACCAUCUCCAUCAGAAGCCUUAGCGUAUUCUGCUGUGAUUCCUUACCUGUGUCUGUCUCCUCCCGGGACCACAAGCUUCGUGGGGGCAGAAUUGCACCUCUGUGCUAUUCACGGCUGGAUUUCUAGCUCCCAGUUCUGGGCAAGGUGCCUGGGCAGUGCCCUGUUGAUGUGUGUUGAAAGACUUCGGGAAGUACUAUGCCGUCCAAGCCUACACACAGGAGAUCGUCUAACAUGUGGCUCACAGCUGACUCUCGUAGGGGCUCAGAUAAACGAGGAGAAGACAAAUACCACCUGGGCACCGUUACACCAUUCUGUGAUCUUUGCAAAAUCUGGGUCCCACCUCUAAUGUUAUUGACCUUCACUCAUCUGGCAUCUGCAAGCGAUGAGAACUGUGAAGGAGGGGACGGGCAUUUGAAUGGACAAAAGAGAUAUCCUAGUUGACUCAUGCAUCUGGAAGACAUCUACCGAUCCUGCUGCCCAAUGUGCCAGGUGCUGGCUGGGUAUGAAAGAAUUGGAACGGGAUACCACGUGGCCUGGACGUGAAGAGAUUCACAGUGGAAAAGGCAAGUAACACACAGUGUAUGAA
RNAcentral lists this long non-coding RNA (818 nucleotides) under Ursus maritimus (polar bear). Its description in RNAcentral is "lncRNA (ENSUMAG00000003150.1)". The record is from RNAcentral. Lineage: Eukaryota; Metazoa; Chordata; Mammalia; Carnivora; Ursidae.